AUGAAUUAACUUCAAACUUGAUCAAGUCACUUUCUUGUUUCAAAUAACUUUUGUUUGCAUUUUUUGGGGUUUCAACUGUUGAACAGCGAAUAUGGCCAGCUUCCUUGCAACCCCUACAUGUCCACUGGUGGCCCUGCCCACCACUACUAGGGCCACCUUCACUGCUAUUCAGCAAAAGAGCUUCUCUGUUAAUGCUAGGGACACUUCCCUUUUCUAAUUAUGUUAUGAAAGGUAUGGUAAUUUUUUUUUUAUUAAUAAAUAACUGAUGCAAAUAUUAAUCAUAAUGCAGGGAGGUUCUCUAUUUUUCGGUUCAAAACAUGUCCAGAAAAUCCAAUUCUCAAACGCAGCUAGCAUUUCCUCUGCCAGGUCUAGAUUCUUCAAGACCGCAAUUUCAUGCUCCGCUCUACCUGAAACCCUGGAAACCGUCCAAAACACCAUUGCUAAGCAAUUGUCUGUUGAUGUGAGCACAGUGACUCCUGAAAUCAAGUUUGCUGAUUGGGUGCUGACUCCCUUGACACGGUGGAGAUAAUGAUGGCUUUGGAAGAACAAUUUGGCGAAGGUGGAAAGGAGAACAUUACAACUGUUCAAGAUGCUGCAGAUCUCAUUGAGAAAGUGAAGGCAGCAGAAUGAAGAGCAUCACUUCCCGGCGUCAAGAUUAUGGAAAUUUCCUUGACUUGGUUAUCUCAUAAGUGGCACCGGGGAAAUGUUUUGCAGGGAUCAAUUUUUGUCAGGGCGUCUAAAAUUAUAAUUUUUUCUUUCCUUUGAACACAAAAUAGAAAAUCUAAUGCGUGCAUAAUAGAAUUGAACUUCGUUUAUCAUUGAAA
Populus trichocarpa (black cottonwood) is the source of this 824-nucleotide long non-coding RNA. RefSeq lists it as uncharacterized. Lineage: Eukaryota; Viridiplantae; Streptophyta; Magnoliopsida; Malpighiales; Salicaceae. The record is from RefSeq and is a predicted model, not a curated record. The transcript has 3 exons.